GAUUUCUGGUUAAGUAACGCUAGCCCGCCCUUGCCAGGGGUGUGCGCUGGUUAGUUGCUUGCCAUCUUUCUAGAAAGCCAGCGUUUGUCAUUCACUUGGCGGACGUGACGCGAUCUAGAUCUUUUACUUUGAAAAAAUUAGAGUGUUUAAAGCAGGCUUACGCUAUGAAUACAUUAGCAUGGAAUAAAAAUAUAGGACUUUGGUUCUAUGAAGUAAUGAUUGAUAGGGAUAGUUGGGGGUGCUAGUAUUCAGUGGCCAGAGGUGAAAUUCUUGGAUUCACUGAAGACUAACUACUGCGAAAGCAUU
RNAcentral lists this ribosomal RNA (306 nucleotides) under uncultured Paracercomonas. RNAcentral's name for it is "SSU rRNA". The stretch from base 51 to 306 matches the Rfam family "Eukaryotic small subunit ribosomal RNA", at positions 679 to 955 of the family's 1831-position model. Lineage: Eukaryota; Cercozoa; Cercomonadida; Cercomonadidae. The record is from RNAcentral.